UUUCACUGUUUAACCUUUUGUGACAUAAAUUUAUUUGUUAUUAUAUACAUUUGGUGCUUGGAAUGGAACUUAGAGCCUUGGGCAUGCUAGGCUAAUACCCUACCACUGAGCUACAUCCCCGGCCUCACAUGACAUGAAUUUUGAACCAAUAAAAUUUUAAAAAUUAACUUUCAAAAUAUUCCUGUUCUACCUAUUUACUAUUUAUUAGUCUUUGGGCAAGAGACUGAACUUCUAGUUCGAGUUGUUUAUCGAGAAGGUGAUGGUCAUUGCUCCACAAUGUUUUUUUUUUUUUAGCUUUUUUUUAGUUGUAGAUGGCCAUAAUACCUUUAUUUUAUUUUAUUUGUGGUGUUGAGGAUUGAACCCAGCACCUUACAAGUGAGGGGCAAGCGCUCUACCUCUGAGCUACAACCCUAGCCCUCCACAAUGUUAUACAUGGAAGCAAAGUGAAGAAAUAAUCUAUAAUGCCUUCACAUAACAAAGAUUCAUUAAGUGCUUUAAUCCCAGCGACUGAGGAAGGCUGAGGCAGGAGGAUCGCAAGUUCAAAGCCAGACUCAGCAACUUAGCGAGACCCUAAGCAACUUAAUGAGACCCUGCUUCAAAAUAAAGCAUAAAAAGGUCUGGGGAUAGGGUUCAGUGGUAGAGUGCCUCUGGGUUCAACCUGUGGUACCAAAAAAAAAAAAGAAUUCACUAAGUAGUAGCCAAUUACUCCUAAGACCAAAGAUUCUAGCUGCUCAUCCUGAAGAAGCUCACAAACAAACUGGGAAGACAAUAUUGGCCAGGAGCCUUCGUUCAGGGCAUGAGAGUGUGCCCAGGGCUGUCCUCCUUCUCAUCACAGUUCUUGUAACAGCCCAGGGCAAGGCAAGGGAGGACAUGCCAUGCCACCCUGUUUUACAAACAGGGAACCUGAGGCUGACUUUCUGAAGGUCACACCUAUGAUGGCAGAGCAGGUCUAGAAUUCAACCUCAUAGCUUUCUGACUUGACUUCCUUGUGUUCGUGCUUCCCUGGAGUUGAAGGCUAUUAGGUACUGGCCUGAGGGGUCAGGUCAGGGGAGGACCUGAGAUGUUCUGCGCCUCCUGCCCAGUAUCUCCCAGAAGCAGUUCCUUGCUGGUGGGUGUGUGAUCGAUGGCUAGAAGAUAGCGUAGCCCAGAAGGGGGCAGGAAAACAAUUCAGCUGGCUUCACUACUUGAGCAUGGGGAUCUGUGUACUUCUGCAGUUUGCAUUUCUUUCUUAAUGCCUUCUGCUUCCUAUUUCCACUCUGGGUGGAACCAUCUCUGAUCUCUGAGCAUUACAAUGGUGGUUUUCUAAGCCUUAAGAGUGUUGGAUUCAUCAGGGUAGUUUGCAUCCUUGGAUACUAGGCUGCAUGGCUGUGAAAGGUCACCCAACUGCUCCAUGCCCAACAUCACAGAGGAGGACAAGGAGGGUAACAGAAGCGAGAGUGACACUCUCAAGUAACACUCCUUCUUGAAAUGCUAGACUUGAACACAGAUCUAUUCUAGAAAAAGUGGCAACUGAGGUUCUCAAGAAUUUUUGGCUUCAGAAUAUAGCAAUAGAAGGUUUUCUGUGGAUUCAUCAGUGUCUCUGCAUAUGCAGAGGGGUCUGGGAUACACAAGUGUGCUGGUAAUAACUUGCCAAGCAGGUGUUAAGUUCAAGUGGUUCCAACCUCAGUAAGAUUCAGAGAGGUAAAUGUCAUGGUCUCCAUUGUCUAGCUGAGAGAACUGGGGUUCAGAGAGCUUAAGAAAACUGCCCAGUAUUUCGUAGCUAGUAGGAAAGAAAACCAGGAUUUGAACCCACAUCCAGCUGUUUUGAAACAUCACACCGUCUCUAUACCAUAAAGUUGGGAGUUAGAACCGAGGGUGAAGUUGUCCAUGAAUGAAACCACAGCGUGGCUAGGCAAGUGGAACUGCUACCUUCUUUGGGUCUGACCAAGACAUCACGAGUUGGUCUCUGAAAACCUGGGGACUGCCAGCAAAAUUCCCCUAGAGGGUAGAUGUUCAGGCUUCCUGGCCUGGUGCAGGGUGAAACCCAGAGUUGGUUCUCUGAGCUGGAUGUGAGCCAGCUUGAUCUGUGAUACUCUGGGGACCUCCAUUUAGUUGUCACAGGCAGCCCCUUCCACAGCCUGCAGUUGCUCCUGUGCUAGGAGUUCCGCCAUCCAGGCCACAGAAGACCGGCCCUGGAAUUGGUGCCGGAGCCAGAGGUCUGACUCCUUGGCAAAGACUCUGUCCCAUAGAGAGGGGUCUUCCUUAUGAGAUGGUGACUCGGUGACCCCCGUUGGAUCCUUUCUCAUGGAAAGUGUGAGUACAUGAUGUGCACUUGGAAGUGACCUUGCAGCUGUGUCCUGAGAGAGGAUGAGCCAUCUGGAGAUGGGUUUUCAGGAGGGCCCAUGUGGAAGGGACUGUGUUCAGAAGAACCCCUAGGCCGGGCUGAUAGAGUUUCUGCAGGGAGUUUUAGCGUCCUCAUAAAUCCUCACCUAAACCAAGGUCCUCGAAUUCUCUGGCUGUGAAGGAGCAGGUUUUGCUUCCACGAUCUAGUCACACCAGUUGUAAUCCCCUAUCUCCUACAGCUGCAGGGAGUCUCAGGGUUGUGAGGGGCAGUGAGGAAUGCUCACACAUUCCUGGUGGUCUUGCCACACCUCUGCCUUAUGCUUCUUGUGUCUAGCUACGAUCAAGUAAGAGGGACCAAGGAACUGGGGAUGUAUCUAAGGAGGUAAUCACAAUGAUUGGCCAUGGAAUUGAAAAUGGAUAAGGAGGGUGGAGGGGUGAAGUACAAAAUGAGUGAGGAAGGGAGAGGUGGGAAGAGAUGGUGGAGCCGAGGGUUAUUGGAAUUGAAGUCCCAGAGGAGGAGUGGAGAGAGAAGAAUUUAAGAGAGGGUGCAGGAAAUUGAGAUUAGGGUGGGAGUGGAUGUUUUGGUAUUAACAAGGUCUAGCCAGGCACAAGCCAGUAAUCCCAGCGACUCAGGAGGCUGAGACAGGAGGAUCACAAGGUCAGGGCCAGCCUAAGCAACUUAGCAAGACCUUGUCUCAAAAUGAAAAAAUAAAAAGGUCUGGGGAUGUAGCUCUGUGGUAAAGCACCCUGGGUUCAAAUGUCUAGGGUACACCCUUGGGAGCCGGUGGCUGGGAUAGGACAAGGGCAGGUUUUCAUGGGAAAAGAGGUAUUUAAGGAACUGUCUUUACUACAUUUUAAGACCUCUGAGCCUUCAGAUGAGGGACUAAGAGCUGAAGGAGAGUGUGAGUGGUUGGGGAGCUGAGACAUGGAGAAAUGAAGGCGCAGGAACCAGUGGGAUAAGUAGGCAUGUGGGCAGGUGUGGGCACGUGUGGCAAGGACACCAGCCCUUCUCAGAUGUGAAGAUGGACCAGUAUAAAAGGCCUGCCCCUGCUGGGAGUCUGUCUCCAGAUGACAAGACGGCAGCCUCUCAAUAAUUCAUACCGAUAGGUCAUCCAUUGCAGACUGACGGACCUCUCUUGAAGGCCUUUCUUUCUUUUUUCUUUCAAAUAUUUAGUUGUAGGUGGACACAAUAUCUUUAUUUUUUAUUGUUAUGUGGUGCUGAGGACCGAACCCAGGGCCUCACGUGUGCCAGACAAGUGCUCUGCCACUGAGCCCCAGCCCCAGCCCUUGAAGGCCUUUCUUGACUUCUGUAGUUGGGGAGAAGAAUUGAAGAUGUUCCAUAAAAACCAUUGUCACUCCUGCCCUGCUGUCAACUGCAUCUGAACUUAGUCUGCCCCAGACACAUCAAAACAUCUCCAAUGCUAAUAUGGAGCUUCGACCUUCGAUAAACAUGAGUAAGACAAGAGUCUUGACUAAAGAAAUCUGCUCUUGAUGCUAAGGCCUACUCCAGGUCUAUUCUAGAUCUGUGUCCAUGCCUAUGAAAUUAAGAAGUGUGACCGUGAUUGGUGAAUUACAUUCCAGCUUUCAAUCUUUGAUUCCAACCAUGAGGCUGGGCCCCUGGGUAGUCGGCACGUUUGCUGAGGCCAUGUUCCUGUCUCCUAGGCGGUGAGGAUAGAAAAGACAACAUGCCCCUCUUUCCUGCAUGUUAUCUUAGCUUUCUCUUCCCCUAGUAGCAUGUUGUUUGUAUCCUCUUGCUGCACCACCAAGUGGUUCUGCCACUUUUUACCUGGUGAUCAGAGGCAAGUCAACUUGUUCUAGCUUCUGGGAGCCUGGGGUGACAGUGUGCAUUCAAUAGCAAUCCUGUGUACAAACCCACUACAAUAUAGCUUCUGAAAUUAUGAAAGGAAGAGGUGUUUAGAGGGUAGGAGUCUAGGAAUUAUGUGUUUGAUUUCUGUAGUGUUUGGUUUUUUGCUAUUAGCAGGUAUAGGAGGUCUAUUUACGAGGGUUCAACUUGAUUUUUUGAACUUGCAAUGGUAGGAAAGCAAUAUACACUUAGUAGAAAGCUUACUUUGAAUUUUGAUCUUUUCCUGGUCUCCGGACAUAGAAUAAUCUUUCUGUUUUUCAUUUAUUUAUUUGUAUUUAUUUACUUAUUUUUGACAUGUCCAGGAUAGAACCCAGGGCCUCGUGUAUGCUAAAUGAGCCCUCAACCACUGAGCCUCGUCCCCAGCCCUGUUUUUCACUUUUAGAACAACAUUCAAUUCAUGUCAUUUCAUGAGCUAUUGAAUACUUUAUUAUAAAAGCAUACUUUAGGUUAGAUGUUUUGCCCAACUGUGGGUUAACAGAAGUGUUCUGAGCUUGUUUAAGGUAGAUGCGGCUAAGCUCAGAUAUUUGCUAGACUAGGUGUGUUCAACACAUUUUCAACUUGUUUUCUACUUCUGAUGGUUCAACAGGACGUCAUCAUUGUAAGUUGAGGAACCCUGCAUAUUGCUUUUGUACUAAAAAUUGUUUUUCUUUUGUGGUUCUGGAAAUUGAACCCUGUGCCUCACAUAUGCCAGGCAAGUGCUCUAUCACUGAGCUACAUCUCCAGCACCACCCCCACCAAUGUUUAUUUUUAAAAGUUAAGUUUUUGUGCUUUUGACUUGAAUGGUACCCUGUCAGUUGUGAGUCCAUAAUACACACUCAGAAGUUUUGGCCAUUAUAUAUGUCUUAGACGGAUUUGUUAAAUGUUAGAAUUGGUUCUUAUUUAAUAAGUGGAGUCAAGAUAUAAAAAGGAGUGAGGUUUGAUAAGAAAGCUGGGAUAUUGGCUCUGCUUGAAGGGUGUGUCUCUCCACUGCCCCUGGCUCUGACUUCUGUGUGGGUGGGAGGGGACCAGAGAAGCAGAGUCCUUGGGGCUGUGCAGAGGGUGCCGGUUGAACACAACGGUCAGCGAGGUUGAGGGUUUGGGCUGGGAAGGGUGCGGCAGGCCUGGGAAGGCCUCAAGCCCGGCUCUGCUGAGCUGAACUCAGGGCUUGCUAGUGAAGAGAGCGGGGGAAGUGGGUGGUUUUGAGUUUUACUUUCAGUUUUCAUUCAAAGUCAUUUCAGGAUGAAACCCAUGUAACGGUCAGAUCUCUCAGCCAGAUUUCUCAGCAAACCUGUGCUCUGCCCCACCCCAGUCCUCUGAGAUGGGCUUGAGGGUGGCCUGGGGCAGGUGAGCAGCAGAAAUGAGGGUUCU
Molecule: long non-coding RNA, 5533 nt
Filed under: Marmota monax (woodchuck)
Lineage: Eukaryota; Metazoa; Chordata; Mammalia; Rodentia; Sciuridae
Source: RNAcentral